This is a long non-coding RNA of Mustela erminea (ermine), 736 nucleotides long. RefSeq lists it as uncharacterized. The record is from RefSeq and is a predicted model, not a curated record. NCBI's taxonomy places the organism in Eukaryota, Metazoa, Chordata, Mammalia, Carnivora, Mustelidae. The transcript is spliced from 3 exons.
CCCCCUGCCCAGCUCAUUUCUUUGGAGAUCCUCAAGCAAGAUGUUCUUGUGUUGCCUACCGAAGUCCAGAAGAUGCAGAGAGAGGAGAGCUCACCCACCAAACACUUCCCCUCACUGGGGAGGUCGUGUCAGGGCUCCCCGAUGCCUCUGGCCAUUUGGCCAGAAGAAUCAAAAGGUCAUGGAUGAAAUAGGAAGGAGGUGGGCAGACACGCACUCCUCCCUGACCCAGGAGUCCCUGGUCCUGGGAAGGCCUCCAGUACCUCCCAGACCACUGCCCCCGGUACUCCCAUCGGACUGCAGUCCUGGACACGGGGCCCACGGAGGCCAAGUCCAAGGCUACUCCAGCAGAGGAGCUAGACCCACUCCCAAUUUCAGCAACUCCGGAGGGGGACGUGGUGACUGGAGACACUUCGGCAGGAGAUCAGGAGCCAAUAGGUGACCCGGCGCCUGCCCAGGGAGAUACUGAUGCUGUCCAGGGAGAGCUGGCUCCUGCUCCUGCUCCUGCUCCUGCUCCUGCUCCUGCUCCUGCCCCCACACCUGCUCCUGCCGCUCCCCCUUCCCCUGCCCCUGCCAGAGCUACUCCCAUUUCCCCUGCCCUUUCCUGUUCUUCUGUUCUGGCCCCUGACCCAGAUCCUCCCUUGGUCCCACCCCUUCCCCGGCCCCUCCCUGUGCCCCUGUUCCUGCCCCAGAGCCAGACACUGCCCCUGCUUCUUCCCCUUCAACUGCCCCCAACCCU